GGGGAAUUUUGCGCAAUGGACGAAAGUCUGACGCAGCAACGCCGCGUGGGUGAUGAAGGUCUUCGGAUCGUAAAACCCUGUCGUCAGGGACGAAGGUUUGGGGGUUAAUAACCCUUAAGCUUGACGGUACCUGGAGAGGAAGCCCCGGCUAACUCUGUGCCAGCAGCCGCGGUAAUACAGAGGGGGCAAGCGUUAUUCGGAAUUAUUGGGCGUAAAGGGCGCGUAGGCGGUUUUUUAAGUCAGAUGUGUAAUCCCCGAGCUCAACUUGGGAACUGCAUCUGAGACUGGAAGGCUAGAGUACUGGAGAGGGUGGUAGAAUUCCACGUGUAGCGGUGAAAUGCGUAGAGAUGUGGAGGAAUACCAGUGGCGAAGGCGGCCACCUGGACAGUAACUGACGCUGAGGCGCGAAAGUGUGGGUAGCAAAC
This 425-nucleotide ribosomal RNA is filed under the name uncultured bacterium. RNAcentral describes it as "bacterial SSU rRNA". It matches the Rfam family "Bacterial small subunit ribosomal RNA", at positions 356 to 773 of the family's 1533-position model. The record is from RNAcentral.